CUAUAUUUGCAUAUUAGAACACACGCUAUCAGGAGAGCUCAUGAGAAUAUUGAUAAGACAUUGAAGGCAUCAGAAGUUAUAUUGUCUCAAUUUGAUAUUUCUCGUCAGGUAGAGUCUAAGAUACUUAGAAGUCCGCAUGAAGACUUGGAAAGCUACCUUGAAGCGAUCUAACAACUAAAGAGCAAUAUUAGCUUCUUCAGCAACAACAAAAGUUUUAAGAGCAGUGAUGGUGUAAUUAAUCAUUCAAAUAAUUUACUUGCUAAAGCUCUAUCAAAGUUAGAACAAGAAUUUGAGCAAAUCAUGUCAUCUUAUAGCAAACCUGUGGAACCUGAACGCCUUUUUGAGUGCCUUCCAAGUUCAUUAAGACCAUCAUCUGAGUCACCAGAUAAUGAAGGAAAUUCAGGUGGCAAACAUCAUUUUGGUCAUGAGCAGCAUCACAACGCUGAAUUAGAGGAUGCAGUUUC
Long non-coding RNA from Impatiens glandulifera, 464 nucleotides. RefSeq lists it as uncharacterized. NCBI's taxonomy places the organism in Eukaryota, Viridiplantae, Streptophyta, Magnoliopsida, Ericales, Balsaminaceae. The transcript is spliced from 3 exons. The record is from RefSeq and is a predicted model, not a curated record.